This 670-nucleotide ribosomal RNA is filed under the name uncultured Zoogloea sp. RNAcentral describes it as "bacterial SSU rRNA". It matches the Rfam family "Bacterial small subunit ribosomal RNA", at positions 94 to 764 of the family's 1533-position model. Lineage: Bacteria; Pseudomonadati; Pseudomonadota; Betaproteobacteria; Rhodocyclales; Zoogloeaceae. The record is from RNAcentral.
AGUGGCGAACGGGUGAGUAAUGCAUCGGAACGUACCGUGUAGUGGGGGAUAACGUAGCGAAAGUUACGCUAAUACCGCAUACGCCCUGAGGGGGAAAGUGGGGGACCGCAAGGCCUCACGCUAUAUGAGCGGCCGAUGUCGGAUUAGCUAGUUGGUAGGGUAAAGGCCUACCAAGGCGACGAUCCGUAGCGGGUCUGAGAGGAUGAUCCGCCACACUGGGACUGAGACACGGCCCAGACUCCUACGGGAGGCAGCAGUGGGGAAUUUUGGACAAUGGGCGCAAGCCUGAUCCAGCCAUGCCGCGUGAGUGAAGAAGGCCUUCGGGUUGUAAAGCUCUUUCAGACGGAAAGAAAUCUCUCGGGAUAACACCCUGGGAGGAUGACGGUACCGUAAGAAGAAGCACCGGCUAACUACGUGCCAGCAGCCGCGGUAAUACGUAGGGUGCGAGCGUUAAUCGGAAUUACUGGGCGUAAAGCGUGCGCAGGCGGUGAUGUAAGACAGAUGUGAAAUCCCCGGGCUCAACCUGGGAACUGCGUUUGUGACUGCAUCACUCGAGUACGGCAGAGGGAGGUGGAAUUCCGCGUGUAGCAGUGAAAUGCGUAGAUAUGCGGAGCACACGAUGGCGACGCAGCCUCCUGGCCAGUACUGACGCUCAUGCACGAAAGCGUGA